This is a non-coding RNA of Vicugna pacos (alpaca), 72 nucleotides long. The record is from the annotation of a RefSeq genome assembly. Lineage: Eukaryota; Metazoa; Chordata; Mammalia; Artiodactyla; Camelidae.
GAGGGUAUAGCUCAGUGGUAGAGUAAGUGUCUCCCAUGCACAAGGUCCUGGGUUCAAUCCCCAGUACCUUAA